GCUAAAAAAAUAACUAACAACAGAUUGCGACUAAUUUGCGAGACGAAUCUUUUAAGCCUAAUUUCUCCAUGAUUUGACAAUGUGGUGCUACAGUAAACAUUUGCUAAUGACAGAUUAAUUAGACUUAAUAAAUUCAUCUCGCGGUUUACUGACGGAUUCUGUAAUUAGUUUUUUUUAUUA
RNAcentral lists this unclassified non-coding RNA (180 nucleotides) under Oryza sativa (Asian cultivated rice). RNAcentral's name for it is "partial microRNA MIR446a-2 precursor". The record is from RNAcentral. Lineage: Eukaryota; Viridiplantae; Streptophyta; Magnoliopsida; Poales; Poaceae.